GGGAUUGUGGCUUAGAGGUAGAGCGCUUGCCUAGAAUGUGUGAGGCACUGAGUUCGAUCCUCAGCAUCACA
This 71-nucleotide transfer RNA is filed under the name Marmota monax (woodchuck). RNAcentral describes it as "tRNA.Ser". The stretch from base 6 to 66 matches the Rfam family "tRNA", at positions 6 to 65 of the family's 71-position model. From Rfam's summary of the family: Transfer RNA (tRNA) molecules are approximately 80 nucleotides in length. Their secondary structure includes four short double-helical elements and three loops (D, anti-codon, and T loops). The record is from RNAcentral. Lineage: Eukaryota; Metazoa; Chordata; Mammalia; Rodentia; Sciuridae.